RNAcentral lists this ribosomal RNA (465 nucleotides) under uncultured bacterium. RNAcentral's name for it is "partial 16S ribosomal RNA". It matches the Rfam family "Bacterial small subunit ribosomal RNA", at positions 28 to 507 of the family's 1533-position model. The record is from RNAcentral.
GACGAACGCUGGCGGCGUGCUUAACACAUGCAAGUCGAACGGAGAGGCCCCUUUGGGGGUACUCGAGUGGCGAACGGGUGAGUAACACGUGAGUAACCUGCCCUUGACUUCGGGAUAACUUCAGGAAACUGGGGCUAAUACCGGAUAGGAAUCCUUGCUGCCUGGUGGGGGUUGGACAGCUUCGGCGGUUUUGGAUGGACUCGCGGCUUAUCAGCUUGUUGGUGGGGUAGUGGCUUACCAAGGCUUUGACGGGUAGCCGGCCUGAGAGGGCGACCGGCCACAUUGGGACUGAGAUACGGCCCAGACUCCUACGGGAGGCAGCAGUGGGGAAUAUUGCACAAUGGGCGGAAGCCUGAUGCAGCAACGCCGCGUGCGGGAUGACGGCCUUCGGGUUGUAAACCGCUUUCAGCAGGGGCGAAGCUUGUGGUGACGGUACCUGCAGAAGAAGCACCGGCUAACUACGUG